GCCAUUAAGGGAUGAGCGUAAGCAGUGACUGACAGGCAGGCUCUGCGAAGCGCUCAGCUGCCAGCCCCAGCCUUGGCAGGAAUCAUCACCCCGAGUGCCUCCCAUAGCCAGCGCUUGACAAAUGGGCAAGAUUCAGUCCAAGCCUAUGGGCUCAGCCCUUUGUUUCCCAGAGCCUCAGCCUCCAUGCCUAUUCACCCACACACUACCAGCCCCUCCACCCAGGAACAGCAUCAGCAACCACGCAGAGAGGAGCCCAUUGCUGCUGAAGGUGAGAGGCUGUCCUCUGCCUGCUUUCAGGACUCCUGGUUCUCAGGCUGCUAGACCUGAACUGGAAUCUACAGCCACUGGCUCUCUGGCUUUCAGGUCUUCAAACUACAUCACCAGCUUUCCUGGGCCUGAACCUUGCCAAUGACAGAUUGUGGGACUUCUCAGCCUCCAUAAACAUCCAACAGCAACUGCCCAUUGGAAGCACAUUGGAAUGGCAAUCCAACAUCCAAAAUGGCUGGGAAAGUGAAGUACUUCAGUUAUUGGAAUAUACUAGUUAGCUGACAAUUUCCAUCUGCCAAUAUCACAAGUGAGAGGACUAUUUCUAAACACUUAACA
This 603-nucleotide long non-coding RNA is filed under the name Homo sapiens (human). RNAcentral describes it as "HSALNT0296279". The record is from RNAcentral. Lineage: Eukaryota; Metazoa; Chordata; Mammalia; Primates; Hominidae.